CUCUCUCUCUCUCUCUCUCUCUCUCUCUCUCUCUCAGGUCUCUGCGGCAACCCCUCCAUCAUUCCAACCUCCACACUGCGCCAGCGCUCCACACCAGCUCCAUCACAAACAAUGCCCAGACUAAAAAAGAUGGAGUUUUGCUCUUGUUGCCCAGGCUGGAGGCUAAAAAUGCAGCUGCAUGGUUUGGUUUGGCUCUUGUAAUCCUGUCCUCUGUCAUAUAAAGAGCAUGUCACAAUCGCUGCGGGUCCCAGAAUGAGGAGACUUGUGGAGUGAACUUGAGUCCCACUCACAGCCUGGAGCCAAGCCCAGCUGAUUCUAGUUGAAGCCAGAGAGCAGCAGCUGAACCUGUAACCUAUAAGCAGCAACUCAAAGCUUGUUCUAAGUCCUUUUGUUUUGAGCUUGUUAUGCUGGAGAAGCAUGACUAAUGGUCUUUUAAAAAUAAAUACUCAGAUCUUUAGGUUUUUGUACCUGUCCCAUUUUCAGAGGGCAUCCGGAUGAACAAGGAGAGG
Callithrix jacchus (white-tufted-ear marmoset) is the source of this 509-nucleotide non-coding RNA. Lineage: Eukaryota; Metazoa; Chordata; Mammalia; Primates; Cebidae. The record is from RefSeq and is a predicted model, not a curated record.